AGGUAGAAGACAAAAUAUGUGCGAUAUUUAGGGCCCCCGGAAGGCAGAAAUUCAGGAAACUGCCGGCGUUGGGGACAGGAAAGCCCUCUGGGAGGGCAGCCUCCAUCCCUCCUUCCCCUGGUCCUCUGAAUUUUUUUUCUUGCUGUGUAGACUGAGAGACUGAAGGAGAUGGCGCAUGCCCAGCAAAGACCGGUUUAUUUCCAUGCCUUUGCAAGAAAAUUUCAUUUAUGAGACGAACGCACAGCUCACCUGCAGCCCUGAGACGUGCUGUGGCUCGAGAAGGGAAAAAGGAGAUGCGCAAGCGCAGGACCUCACCCCGGAAGCAGUUUCCACGCAGGCGCACUCAGGAAGCCAAGCAAUUCCGCUGGAGGAACUCACGUUGCAAAAGGCGAAGUAGGAUGUUCAGAGAAUCCAAGUUGAUGUGGUGUUAAGCCCGAGUGGGGGAGUACAGUUUACUGCCUGUAGGAUCAGAAAGAUGUGGAUACGACAUCACGACCCUAUUUUUACACUGUGAGACCAGGGCUACCAGGCUUAGAUGGCCAGGAGGAAUGGUACAGAGCGCCAGAUUGGGAAAGCAUUUUGAAUCUUGUGAGUCCAGGGCAAUCAGUUCCCAUAAAAGAACUUUAAGUUGAUAUGAAACCGUGCCUCGUGGUGAAUUCUCACGCCACACCAGUUUUGCCCUCUUGGCUGAGAAUUUAACUAGGACAAACCCUCUACUCUCUAUUAUACAGCAGCAGUCCAGGUACUGAGGGAAGCUCCCGGAUUCUGUGGUGUGGGGGAAAACAGAAUUUCCCAGAAUACACAAAGGACCCUAACAUCAUAUUUAUUAAAUCUUGUGAUGUUAGUUUGCUGAACCUAUUUCUUCCACAUGAAAGUAUUUGGGGAAAUAACGCGACUGUAUUUUGAGAACUGAGAAGUCUACACUGGUCCUUGGGGACUAAGCAAACCCUGGAAGAGUCACUGGACGUUGGUGGCAAGUCACAGGGAUGAGGAGGCUGCGGCAUCCUGAUGUUUGCCUCUGAGUUCUCCAGCAACUCCUUCCCACCCUGCUGUGUCCCCCCUCACCCCAGCCUUGUCUCUCCCCCCAGACACACAGGACACUUUCCCUACUCAAAAUAAAAGGAGGACCUUUUGGACACUUUA
This is a long non-coding RNA of Mesocricetus auratus (golden hamster), 1143 nucleotides long. RefSeq lists it as uncharacterized. Lineage: Eukaryota; Metazoa; Chordata; Mammalia; Rodentia; Cricetidae. The record is from RefSeq and is a predicted model, not a curated record. The transcript is spliced from 2 exons.